This 254-nucleotide ribosomal RNA is filed under the name uncultured bacterium. RNAcentral's name for it is "partial 16S ribosomal RNA". It matches the Rfam family "Bacterial small subunit ribosomal RNA", at positions 524 to 776 of the family's 1533-position model. The record is from RNAcentral.
UACGUAGGUGGCAAGCGUUGUCCGGAAUUAUUGGGCGUAAAGCGCGCGCAGGCGGCCUCUUAAGUCUGAUGUGAAAGCCCCCCGGCUCAACCGGGGAGGGCCAUUGGAAACUGGGAGGCUUGAGUAUAGGAGAGAAGAGUGGAAUUCCACGUGUAGCGGUGAAAUGCGUCGAGAUGUGGAGGAACACCAGUGGCGAAGGCGACUCUUUGGCCUAUAACUGACGCUGAGGCGCGAAAGCGUGGGGAGCAAACAGG